GAUGAACGCUGGCGGCGUGCCUAAUACAUGCAAGUCGAGCGAACAGACGAGGAGCUUGCCCCUCUGACGUUAGCGGCGGACGGGUGAGUAACACGUGGAUAACCUACCUAUAAGACUGGGAUAACUUCGGGAAACCGGAGCUAAUACCGGAUAAUAUAUUGAACCGCAUGGUUCAAUAGUGAAAGACGGUUUUGCUGUCACUUAUAGAUGGAUCCGCCCCGCGUUAGCUAGUUGGUAGGGUAACGGCUUACCAAGGCGACGAUGCGUAGCCGACCUGAGAGGGUGAUCGGCCACACUGGAACUGAGACACGGUCCAGACUCCUACGGGAGGCAGCAGUAGGGAAUCUUCCGCAAUGGGCGAAAGCCUGACGGAGCAACGCCGCGUGAGUGAUGAAGGUCUUCGGAUCGUAAAACUCUGUUAUUAGGGAAGAACAAAUGUGUAAGUAACUAUGCACGUCUUGACGGUACCUAAUCAGAAAGCCACGGCUAACUACGUG
RNAcentral lists this ribosomal RNA (497 nucleotides) under uncultured bacterium. Its description in RNAcentral is "partial 16S ribosomal RNA". It matches the Rfam family "Bacterial small subunit ribosomal RNA", at positions 28 to 507 of the family's 1533-position model. The record is from RNAcentral.